Molecule: ribosomal RNA, 253 nt
Filed under: uncultured bacterium
Lineage: Bacteria
Description: partial 16S ribosomal RNA
Rfam family: Bacterial small subunit ribosomal RNA
Source: RNAcentral
UACGUAGGGUGCAAGCGUUAAUCGGAAUUACUGGGCGUAAAGCGUGCGCAGGCGGUUCUAUAAGACAGAUGUGAAAUCCCCGGGCUCAAUCUGGGAACUGCAUUUGUGACUGUAGAGCUGGAGUGCGGCAGAGGGGGAUGGAAUUCCGCGUGUAGCAGUGAAAUGCGUAGAUAUGCGGAGGAACACCGAUGGCGAAGGCAAUCCCCUGGGCCUGCACUGACGCUCAUGCACGAAAGCGUGGGGAGCGAUCCGG